This 253-nucleotide ribosomal RNA is filed under the name uncultured bacterium. RNAcentral describes it as "partial 16S ribosomal RNA". It matches the Rfam family "Bacterial small subunit ribosomal RNA", at positions 524 to 776 of the family's 1533-position model. The record is from RNAcentral.
UACGUAGGGUGCAAGCGUUGCCCGGAAUUAUUGGGCGUAAAGAGCUCGUAGGCGGUUUGUCGCGUCGAAUGUGAAAACCCGGGGCUCAACUCCGGGCCUGCAUUCGAUACGGGCAGACUAGAGUUCGGUAGGGGAGACUGGAAUUCCUGGUGUAGCGGUGAAAUGCGCAGAUAUCAGGAGGAACACCGGUGGCGAAGGCGGGUCUCUGGGCCGAUACUGACGCUGAGGAGCGAAAGCGUGGGGAGCGAACAGG